GGUUUUAAUGCCCUAGUCUACCUGGAAAAUUAAAGGAAACAGGGAUGAAAUAUUAAAGCAUGUAAUUUUUCCAUGCAGAGUAGAGCUAACCAAAAUUAAAAAGGAAGAUCAAAGCAUACGAUUUGCCAUGUAAAGGAAUGUGUAACAUGUAGUUUGUUUUCCACAUUAGCAUUAGGAAUCAAACUGUAGAAGUAAUUUGUACAUCCAAGAACCAGUUUCACAAACCAUACUGAGUUUUCAGACAAAGUAUCAUGAUUUUAUAAACAUAUCUACCAUUCUAAGGUUAUUAUUAAAUCAAGAAAGAAAAUCUCAACACACUAUAAACAAAAUAGAAUAUCUAUUUUCACUCAGACAUUUUUUUCCACUUGAUAAUACUUCUUUAGGAAUAUUGAUACACUUGUUCAGGGACCUGUGUAACCAUUGAAAAAUUUUAGUACUAUCUUCUAAUUACACAUUUGGAUUGUUAAAUGAGAAAUGUAUAAUCCUAAAAUCAGUUUCUGCAAUUUAAAUGGAUAAAAUAUAGGAGAUUUUCUUAUAUGUCUUUUAAUUAUACAUCUUUCAUUUAAUUUCAUUUCAUUUGAAUAUGUUUAUAUCUUCAGAUAAAAAGAGAAAUUUUACAAAACACUAUUGAAACACACUUUGUAUUAACAAUUCAUUUAGAAGGUAAUUAAAACGGAUCUACAUCCUUUUACAGUGCUGUGGGAAAGAACUCCAGGAAGUAAAAUUAUGAGUUGGUAGUAGGACCAUGUGUUUAGCAUGCACUGGGUUCAAACAGACAGAAAGGAAGAAAUAUGAGGAGGAAGAGAGGCAGGCAUAAAAAAAAGAAUAGAGAGGAAAGAAGGAGAGCAGGAAGGAGGAAAAGAAGGCAAAGAAAGACAGAGAGAAUACAUUCAUUAUCAGAAGAUUAAAAAAAUGUUAGUUACAUGAUGGUCAGUUUGGGGGUUCUAAGAGUGCACCUCAGUGUUAGAGAAGACAACAGUUAAAACAGAGGGCAUAAAUGUACCCAAAUGUGUACAGUACCACAAUAACCUAUACAGUCAUCAUAUGCAAAUGAUUAGCUUGUUUAAAAUGUUCACACUUUGGUUUUCCUUAUGCAUAUACAAAUAGCAGUGUGUUCACAAGCAAUGCUAACACCGCCCUCUAUGUUUAUAACAAAUCUAUUGUAUGAAGAGAGUUAAAAUAAAAUGACAUCCAAGGCACCAUUCCCCUUGCUCCUCUUAGCUUCAAACUGCUAGUCAGUGAUGUUUAGUUCUAUGAUAUUAUUUGUUCUAUUUAAUACCUCCUGUUUUUUUUACCAUAAUUAUAUUUUAAAUCCUCAUUUCCUUUCCUCAAAAGAUAUAGAAAUUACUGUUCAGCAAAACCUGGCCAAAAGUAAAACAUAUGUAUUUCUCAAAGACAUAAUUAAUACAUAUUGGUUAUGGGUGAUUCCUUGGCUUUAUGUUGUUUACUUGGGAAAUUUAAUGGUUUAACAUGUUUUUUUUUGUAUUGUACAUAAAAUUACCUAGAAAUGCACUUUUACCCCACAAUGUAGGUUCGUGAAUAGAUUUAGCAUGAUGAAGCUGUCUUUACAGUGAAUGUUCCCCCAUGUAGAGAAAGCAAACUAGAUAUAGUUACCACAUGAGAAUUUAAUUAGAUGUUGAAAAAAAAUCAUUUGUCUGGAAAAAAUAAAACAUUGAAUUCCCCCAA
RNAcentral lists this long non-coding RNA (1686 nucleotides) under Rattus norvegicus (Norway rat). RNAcentral's name for it is "long non-coding RNA NONRATT021144". Lineage: Eukaryota; Metazoa; Chordata; Mammalia; Rodentia; Muridae. The record is from RNAcentral.